GAUGAAGAACGUAGCGAAAUGCGAUACGUAAUGUGAAUUGCAAAUUCUGUGAAUCAUCGAGUCUUUGAACGCACAUUGCGCCCCCUGGUAUUCCGGGGGGCAUGCCUGUCCGAGCGUCAUUGCUGCCCUCAAGCACGGCUUGUGUGUUGGGCCCCGUCCUCCGAUCCCGGGGGACGGGCCCGAAAGGCAGCGGCGGCACCGCGUCCGGUCCUCGAGCGUAUGGGGCUUUGUCACCCGCUCUGUAGGCCCGGCCGGCGCUUGCCGAUCAACCCAAAUUUUUAUCCAGGUUGACCUCGGAUCAGGUAGGGAUACCCGCUGAACUUAAGCAUAUCAAUAAGCGGAGGA
RNAcentral lists this unclassified non-coding RNA (345 nucleotides) under soil metagenome. RNAcentral's name for it is "partial contains 5.8S ribosomal RNA, internal transcribed spacer 2, and large subunit ribosomal RNA". The stretch from base 1 to 119 matches the Rfam family "5.8S ribosomal RNA", at positions 35 to 154 of the family's 154-position model. The record is from RNAcentral.